CUGCCUAAUACAUGCAAGUAGAACGCUGAAGGAGGAGCUUGCUCUUCUGGAUGAGUUGCGAACGGGUGAGUAACGCGUAGGUAACCUGCCUGGUAGCGGGGGAUAACUAUUGGAAACGAUAGCUAAUACCGCAUAAGAGUAGAUGUUGCAUGACAUUUACUUAAAAGGUGCAAAUGCAUCACUACCAGAUGGACCUGCGUUGUAUUAGCUAGUUGGUGGGGUAACGGCUCACCAAGGCGACGAUACAUAGCCGACCUGAGAGGGUGAUCGGCCACACUGGGACUGAGACACGGCCCAGACUCCUACGGGAGGCAGCAGUAGGGAAUCUUCGGCAAUGGACGGAAGUCUGACCGAGCAACGCCGCGUGAGUGAAGAAGGUUUUCGGAUCGUAAAGCUCUGUUGUAAGAGAAGAACGAGUGUGAGAGUGGAAAGUUCACACUGUGACGGUAUCUUACCAGAAAGGGACGGCUAACUACGUGCCAGCAGCCGCGGUAAUACGUAGGUCCCGAGCGUUGUCCGGAUUUAUUGGGCGUAAAGCGAGCGCAGGCGGUUAGAUAAGUCUGAAGUUAAAGGCUGUGGCUUAACCAUAGUACGCUUUGGNAACUGUUUAACUUGAGUGCAAGAGGGGAGAGUGGGAAUUCCAUGUGUAGCGGNUGAAAUGCGAAGAUAUAUGGAGGAACACCGGUGGCGAAAGCGGCUCUCUGGCUUGUAACUGACGCUGAGGCUCGAAAGCGUGGGGAGCAAACAGGAUUAGAU
RNAcentral lists this ribosomal RNA (756 nucleotides) under uncultured Bacillota bacterium. Its description in RNAcentral is "bacterial SSU rRNA". It matches the Rfam family "Bacterial small subunit ribosomal RNA", at positions 44 to 783 of the family's 1533-position model. Lineage: Bacteria; Bacillati; Bacillota. The record is from RNAcentral.